GACGAACGCUGGCGGCGUGCUUAACACAUGCAAGUCGAACGGAAAGGCCCUGCUUUUGUGGGGUGCUCGAGUGGCGAACGGGUGAGUAACACGUGAGUAACCUGCCCUUGACUUUGGGAUAACUUCAGGAAACUGGGGCUAAUACCGGAUAGGAGCUCCUGCUGCAUGGUGGGGGUUGGAAAGUUUCGGCGGUUGGGGAUGGACUCGCGGCUUAUCAGCUUGUUGGUGGGGUAGUGGCUUACCAAGGCUUUGACGGGUAGCCGGCCUGAGAGGGUGACCGGCCACAUUGGGACUGAGAUACGGCCCAGACUCCUACGGGAGGCAGCAGUGGGGAAUAUUGCACAAUGGGCGGAAGCCUGAUGCAGCAACGCCGCGUGCGGGAUGACGGCCUUCGGGUUGUAAACCGCUUUCGCCUGUGACGAAGCGUGAGUGACGGUAAUGGGUAAAGAAGCGCCGGCUAACUACGUGCCAGCAGCCGCGGUGAUACGUAGGGUGCGAGCGUUGUCCGGAUUUAUUGGGCGUAAAGGGCUCGUAGGUGGUUGAUCGCGUCGGAAGUGUAAUCUUGGGGCUUAACCCUGAGCGUGCUUUCGAUACGGGUUGACUUGAGGAAGGUAGGGGAGAAUGGAAUUCCUGGUGGAGCGGUGGAAUGCGCAGAUAUCAGGAGGAACACCAGUGGCGAAGGCGGUUCUCUGGGCCUUUCCUGACGCUGAGGAGCGAAAGCGUGGGGAGCGAACAGGCUUAGAUACCCUGGUAGUCCACGCUGUAAACGGUGGGUACUAGGUGUGGGGUCCAUUCCACGGGUUCCGUGCCGUAGCUAACGCUUUAAGUACCCCGCCUGGGGAGUACGGCCGCAAGGCUAAAACUCAAAGGAAUUGACGGGGCCCCGCACAAGCGGCGGAGCAUGCGGAUUAAUUCGAUGCAACGCGUAGAACCUUACCUGGGUUUGACAUGGAUCGGGAGUGCUCAGAGAUGGGUGUGCCUCUUUUGGGGUCGGUUCACAGGUGGUGCAUGGCUGUCGUCAGCUCGUGUCGUGAGAUGUUGGGUUAAGUCCCGCAACGAGCGCAACCCUUGUUCACUGUUGCCAGCACGUUAUGGUGGGGACUCAGUGGAGACCGCCGGGGUCAACUCGGAGGAAGGUGGGGAUGACGUCAAGUCAUCAUGCCCCUUAUGUCCAGGGCUUCACGCAUGCUACAAUGGCUGGUACAGAGAGUGGCGAGCCUGUGAGGGUGAGCGAAUCUCGGAAAGCCGGUCUCAGUUCGGAUUGGGGUCUGCAACUCGACCUCAUGAAGUCGGAGUCGCUAGUAAUCGCAGAUCAGCAACGCUGCGGUGAAUACGUUCCCGGG
This 1343-nucleotide ribosomal RNA is filed under the name uncultured bacterium. Its description in RNAcentral is "16S ribosomal RNA". It matches the Rfam family "Bacterial small subunit ribosomal RNA", at positions 28 to 1378 of the family's 1533-position model. The record is from RNAcentral.